This 253-nucleotide ribosomal RNA is filed under the name uncultured bacterium. Its description in RNAcentral is "partial 16S ribosomal RNA". It matches the Rfam family "Bacterial small subunit ribosomal RNA", at positions 524 to 776 of the family's 1533-position model. The record is from RNAcentral.
UACGAAGGGUGCAAGCGUUACUCGGAAUUACUGGGCGUAAAGGGUGCGUAGGUGGUUGUUUAAGUCUGUUGUGAAAGCCCCGGGCUCAACCUGGGAAUGGCAAUGGAUACUGGACAGCUAGAGUGCGGUAGAGGGUAGUGGAAUUCCCGGUGUAGCAGUGAAGUGCGUAGAGAUCGGGAGGAACACCAGUGGCGAAGGCGGCUACCUGGACCAGCACUGACACUGAAGCACGAAAGCGUGGGGAGCAAACAGG